GGUGAGUGUACCCUGGCCAAAGUUAUCAUGCCCAUUCAUAUUAUUUCUGAUAAUCAUCAUGACACAUACGACCCUCCACAUACAUCAGCCAGAGUAAGGCGCGAAACCCCAGUAAAAGGCAGUUUUGACCCCCACAUUUACAUAGAUGCCAUUGGGGUGCCUAGGGGGGUACCUAAUGAAUUUAAAGCUAGAGAUGAAGUAGCUGC
Molecule: non-coding RNA, 206 nt
Organism: Pelobates cultripes (western spadefoot toad)
Lineage: Eukaryota; Metazoa; Chordata; Amphibia; Anura; Pelobatidae
Source: the annotation of a GenBank genome assembly